CGGAACGGGUGAGUAACGCGUGAGGAACCUGCUCAAGAGGGGGACGAACAGUUGGAAACGACUGCUAAUACCGCAUAAGCCCACAGGUCGGCAUCGACCAGAGGGAAAAGGAGCAAUCCGCUUUGAGAUGGCCUCGCGUCCGAUUAGCUAGUUGGUGAGGUAAUGGCCCACCAAGGCAACGAUCGGUAGCCGGACUGAGAGGUUGAACGGCCACAUUGGGACUGAGACACGGCCCAG
This 237-nucleotide ribosomal RNA is filed under the name uncultured bacterium. RNAcentral's name for it is "partial 16S ribosomal RNA". It matches the Rfam family "Bacterial small subunit ribosomal RNA", at positions 100 to 334 of the family's 1533-position model. The record is from RNAcentral.